GGAAACUGUGCUCCCGUGAGCUGCUGUGGAUCAAGUGUAAAAUUCCAUUCUGGUAUCAAAAUGCAGUAUUCACACCACUGUGAACACCUUUUAGAGAGACUGAACAAACAACGAGAAGCAGGUUUUCUUUGUGACUGCACCAUAGUGAUUGGGGAAUUCCAAUUUAAAGCUCAUAGGAAUGUGCUCGCCUUGCUUAGUGAGUAUUUUGGUGCAAUCUACAGAAGCACUUCUGAGAACAAUGUCUUUCUUGAUCAGAGUCAGGUGAAGGCUGAUGGAUUUCAGAAAUUGUUGGAGUUUAUUUACACAGGAAUUUUAAAUCUUGAUAGUUGGAAUGUUAAAGAAAUUCAUCAGGCUGCUGACUAUCUCAAAGUGGAAGAGGUGGUUACAAAAUGUAAAAUAAAGAUGGAAGAUUUUGCUUUUAUUGCUAAUCCUUCUUCUACAGAGAUAUCUAGUAUUACUGGAAACAUUGAAUUGAAUCAACAGACUUGUCUUCUUACUCUGUGAGAUUAUAACACUUGGGAGAAAUCAGAAUUCUCUGUAGAUUUAGUUCAGGCAAAUCCUAAACAAGGAGCUUUGACAAAGAAGUCAUCUCAAAGUAAAAAGAAGAAGAAGCCUUUCAACUCCCAGACAGCAGGACAGAAUAAAACAGUGCAAUACCCCAGUGACAUUUUAGAAAAUGCAUCUGUUGAAUUAUUCUUAGAUGCAAGUAAGUUGUCCACACCUGUAGUAGAGCAAAUUGCACAGAGAAAUGGUAAUUCAGAACUUGAGUUGACAUCAGUUAUGGAAAACACUUUUCCAGCGCAAGAUACUGUGCAAAUUGUUACAGUGAAACGGAAAUGAGGAAAAUCACAGCCCAGCUGUGCUCUGAAAGAACACUCUAUGUCCAACAUAGCCAGUGUCAAGAGUCCAUAUGAGCUGGAGAACUCGGGAGAAGAGCUGGAUCAGAGGGACUCCAAGGCCAAGCCCGUGUGCAACACGUGUGGGAAAGUGUUUUCAGAAGCCAGCAGCUUGAGAAGGCACAUGAGAAUACACAAAGGAGUCAAACCUUACGUCUGCCAGUUGUGUGGAAAGGCAUUCACUCAGUGUAACCAGCUGAAAACACACGUAAGAACUCACACAGGUGAGAAGCCAUACAAAUGUGAAUUGUGUGAUAAAGGAUUUGCUCAGAAAUGCCAGCUGGUCUUCCAUAGUCGCAUGCAUCAUGGUGAAGAAAAACCCUACAAAUGUGAUGUGUGCAAUUUACAGUUUGCAACUUCCAGCAAUCUCAAGAUCCAUGCAAGGAAGCAUAGCGGAGAGAAGCCAUAUGUCUGUGAUAGGUGUGGACAGAGAUUUGCCCAGGCCAGCACCCUGACCUAUCACGUGCGGCGGCACACCGGGGAAAAGUCGUAUGUGUGUGACACAUGUGGGAAGGCAUUUGCUGUCUCUAGUUCUCUUAUCACUCAUUCUCGAAAACAUACAGGUGAAAAACCAUACAUAUGUGGUAUUUGUGGGAAAAGUUUUAUUUCCUCAGGAGAGCUCAACAAACACUUUCAAUCCCAUACAGGAGAAAGACCAUUUAUCUGUGAAUUGUGUGGAAAUUCUUAUACGGAUAUUAAAAAUUUAAAGAAGCACAAAACAAAAGUCCAUUCUGGUGCAGAUAAAACUCUAGAUUCCAGUAUAGAAGAUUAUAUUGUGAGUGAACAAGAUUCCAUACAAAAAAAGCCCUUUAUCAGAAGCUAUGGAUGUGUAGCCUUCCUAUGUGAUUUUGCCUCUAGCUCUUCCACUUGGGGCUGAGGACCACCACAUGCUUCUGCCUGUCACAGAUAACCAGUCUCCUACGUCAGAGAUGUUGUUGAGGUCAACUGUGAAUGGCUAUGCAGGACCACAGCUGAUUUUUUUUACAACAGUUAUACUAAGUUUGUGAGGAACAUGGGAUCGCUAAGACAUUUCUGGGAGUAACACAGACAUCUCUGGCAAGGUGCAUAUAUCCAUAGUAAAUUCCCAUUCAUUGGAGUUGUGACUAUUUUUCAUUCACUGAAGUAAAGCACCUGAUACAUCAUAAACGCAAUACUUGUUUGAUUUUUGGCUGUUAUAUCUAGACUAGACUACACACAGAUUUUUAAGAAAUGGAUUAUACUACAGUAGCACUAUUUUGGGUUGAUAAGUUUUCUUUUAAAGCUGCCUUAAUUCCACUUGUACUUUUUUUUUUUUUAAGGGGGUCUUGUUGCCUAGGCUGGAGUGCAGAGGCACAAUCAUAGCUCCAGUGAUCUUUCCACCUCAGCCUCCUGAGUAGCUGGGACUACUGUCAUGUGCCACCUCACUCACCUAAUUUUUGUACUUUUUGUAGGGAUGGGGUCUCGCUCAGGCUGGUCUUAAACUCCUGGCCUCAAGUGAUUCUCUUGUCUGGACCUCCCAAAAGUGCUGGGCCUACAGAUGUGACCCACUGCACUUGCCUUGCUUUGCCUCUUAGAGUUGCCCUUUGUUGACUGAAGUAUAAUCACUUUAUUUGAUGUAGUUUUGUUUUCCUCCCCUCAAAAUUUAAGCAAAAUCUAUUGACACUAUCAGCCCAAGAAUGUUGCUGUUUGUAAGCCCCAUAGACCGAUAAAUAAAUGCAGGGGGAAAAAAAUAAAAUUGCUCAUUUUUGCCUGUGAAAAUUUAGGGACUGAAUAAGAAUUGUGCUAUUUCUCUAUUACUGUAUUCAUUAGAGGUAACUUUCUAAUGAAACAAAAAGAAAUGUUUCUCUUAAAGCUAAAAAACUGCAUGUAAAUUUUUAUUUAUUUAGAAUUUAGUAUUCUGGAGAACACCAAGAUCAGUACUUCAGGUUUGAGUUGUUUAGACUAUAUUUUCAAAAUGAAUUUUAGAUAUUUGGUG
Nycticebus coucang (slow loris) is the source of this 2850-nucleotide RNA transcript. It is a transcript of the gene named myoneurin-like, with no coding region annotated. The record is from RefSeq and is a predicted model, not a curated record. NCBI's taxonomy places the organism in Eukaryota, Metazoa, Chordata, Mammalia, Primates, Lorisidae. The transcript has a single exon.